GGCUCUUUGAUAAAAAAGAUAGGGAGUCGGACCUGCCCAGUGAAAAUUUUUAACGGCCGCGGUACUCUGACCGUGCAAAGGUAGCAUAAUCAUUUGCCUUAUAAUUGAAGGCUUGUAUGAAUGGUUUGACAAGAAUGUAGCUGUCUCUAUGUAAUUUUGUAGAAUUUUAUUUUGAAGUGAAGAAGCUUGAAUAAUAUUGAUAGACAAGAAGACCCUAUCGAGCUUAAAAAAAGGUUGUAGAAGUAUAGAAUAGAUUUAAAAGAUUGUCUAUUAUAAAUUUUGGUUGGGGCGACUUAGGAACAGAUUAAGCUUCCUAAAUUUAUUUAGAUAAACAAGAGUGAUCCAAAAUUUUUUGAUUAAUGAAAUUAGUUACCGUAGGGAUAACAGCAUUAUCUUCUUUGAGAGUUCUUAUCGAAAAGAGGGUUUGUGACCUCGAUGUUGGACCAGAAUGUCCUAAAGAUGUAGCAGUCUUUAAGGGUUGGUCUGUUCGACCAUUAAAAUUCUACG
This 507-nucleotide ribosomal RNA is filed under the name Columbella major. RNAcentral describes it as "partial 16S ribosomal RNA". It matches the Rfam family "Bacterial large subunit ribosomal RNA", at positions 1816 to 2600 of the family's 2925-position model. The record is from RNAcentral. Lineage: Eukaryota; Metazoa; Mollusca; Gastropoda; Neogastropoda; Columbellidae.